UCGAGCGGAUGACGGGAGCUUGCUCCUUGAUUCAGCGGCGGACGGGUGAGUAAUGCCUAGGAAUCGCCUGGUAGUGGGGGACAACGUUUCGAAAGGAACGCUAAUACCGCAUACGUCCUACGGGAGAAAGCAGGGGACCUUCGGGCCUUGCGCUAUCAGAUGAGCCUAGGUCGGAUUAGCUAGUUGGUGGGGUAAUGGCUCACCAAGGCGACGAUCCGUAACUGGUCUGAGAGGAUGAUCAGUCACACUGGAACUGGCACACGGUCCAGACUCCUACGGGAGGCAGCAGUGGGGAAUAUUGGACAAUGGGCGAAAGCCUGAUCCAGCCAUGCGGCGUGUGUGAAGAAGGUCUUCGGAUUGUAAAGCACUUUAAGUUGGGAGGAAGGGCAGUAGGCUAAUACCUUGCUGUUUUGACGUUACCGACAGAAUAAGCACCGGCUAACUCUGUGC
Molecule: ribosomal RNA, 450 nt
Filed under: uncultured bacterium
Lineage: Bacteria
Description: bacterial SSU rRNA
Rfam family: Bacterial small subunit ribosomal RNA
Source: RNAcentral